UACGGAGGGUGCAAGCGUUGUCCGGAUUUAUUGGGUUUAAAGGGUGCGUAGGUGGCGUUUUAAGUCUGGUUUGAAAGCAGGCGGCUCAACCGUCUGAUGUGGCUGGAAACUGGGGCGCUUGAAUGAGUUGGCGGUAGCCGGAACGGGUCAUGUAGCGGUGAAAUGCAUAGAUAUGACCCAGAACACCGAUUGCGAAGGCAGGCUACUACGACUUGAUUGACACUGAGGCACGAGAGCAUGGGUAGCGAACAGG
RNAcentral lists this ribosomal RNA (253 nucleotides) under uncultured bacterium. RNAcentral's name for it is "partial 16S ribosomal RNA". It matches the Rfam family "Bacterial small subunit ribosomal RNA", at positions 524 to 776 of the family's 1533-position model. The record is from RNAcentral.